UCAAAAAAAUCAAACAAAAAAGCUGAAGCUUAUGAUGAACGGGUGAAUCCAAACUCUGACAGAAGAGGAGAGAAGGAUGUCAGGUGUCCUACUCCAUCAGUCAUCUCCACUUAAUUCCUUUGAGGCAGAGUCUCUCACUGAGCCUGGAGCUGGGCUGGGCUCCGUAACCUCAAUGAUUCUCUUGUCUCUGCCACUGCAGUGCUGGAGUUACAGAUGUACCGAGCUGUUGUGGAAUCUGAAAUCUGGUCCUUGUGUAGGCAUAGCUGGCACUCUUUCCCACUGAGCCUAUUUCCAGCCCUGGAAGUUCUUUACUCAGCCUCCUCAGUACAGGGAUUGUAGGUUUGCUCCACCACCCCCAGCUACUAACAAGAUGUUGAUGUGGCAGGGCUGCUUCUCAACAUUUCACAGCCAGUAAUGGCAGGCAGCCGAUCUCUUUCGCCUAUGGCCCUAGAAUCACAUUCCUUCCUCGAUCUGACCCUGUUCCCACAGGUUGACCUCUGUGAAGAGAAUCAGUGGACUCCCUUGUAGUUUGGCUUCUAAGUGUGUUGAUCUAGUAGAGACCCAGCAGCUGGAGUUCAGGGAGGCCCCCUAGCUGGCGGGCUGGAUUGCCCAUCUCCUGGGCUGGCACUUCCCUCACUGCCCUCCUGUGUUCCCUGCCUUCUACCUUCUGGCUUUCUAAUGGUCCUUCUGGUCCCAGAGAUUCCCUGGGAAAUCCUAUUAUUCUUUGUAGACUUGCUUCCCUCUGUCCUAAAAGCAACCAACCAACCUAAGAGUCAACUCUUCCCAUCCAAGUUUGCACCUCCCAGAAGAAUCGGAUGAUACAGGUGCCGUCCAGCCAAUCAGCGCUGUUAGUCUCGUCUUCUGGACAAGAAAUCUGAGAUCGAAGAGAAUUGUCAGCUAUACCCUGAGCUACACCCCGUGGUUUUGCCUUUUGACUUGAAUUGCAUCAUUGGCUUUCCAAAUGUGACCUCUGGGCCUGACGCAUCACCAUCACUGGGGAGCUUGUUUGGAAAAUAUGAAUUUUAGGACCCACCUCAGAUCUACUGAGUAAGAAGCAAGAUGGCCGGAGUGAUUUCUGAUUUAAGGUCUCUAUUGCUCUACAGUGUCCAGUUCAGCAAGAAGCGAGACUCUCCCCAACCCCCACAACUGCACUUACCUUGGAUUCCAGGAAAAUCAGAACUGACAUAAGCACCUUUAAGACAGGAGACUGAAAUGACCAAGAAGCAACUAACUAUAAGCCUCAAAGGACAGACCACUCCCCAAAUGAGGGCAAUUAUCUCUGAUGGCAGGGCUGCUCCCAGAGGGAAGACAUUAUCACCAGGGAGGCAAUUCCCUCCUCUAGUGAGGGCUGUAAAUCACUUCUUCCAAACGUGCAGAAACAGGACUGCUAAGAUCCACCGGUUACACCUUGACCAAGACUGCCUGAUUGCACACACUUCAUGCCCUUUGCCCCAUUUUUCUAUUUAAAUCUGAAGCUCAUUCAGGUGUUUGAAAGAUUGGUGAGACCUCAUUCAGGGUCUCACAGGAACACUUGAUCUGUCCCUUCUCCUUAUAUUUUUGGUUGUGAGCCUAGCCUUUAACGGCUGAGCCAUCUCUCCAGCCCCUGUCCCUUCUCCUAAGGGAAGCCAAUUACGUACCUCAGGACAGCUCUGUGUAUGGCCCGAUGCAAAACUGUACACUUAUUUAUCAUGAGGGUUCUUUUGCAUGUUUUGCUUGUGCUUUUACAGUGCGGUGCUUAAGCAUGAACUUCAUAGAACUUUAUGCUGGAGUGCAGUAGGUGGUAUGCUCUGUGUGGUGACCACUUUCACGCCUCGGUGGCAAACAUAUCUUAAUUCCAGCAACAAGGAGGUAGGGGCAAGAAGAUCUCUGAGCUCCAGGCCAGCUGAGGUAACAUAGUGAGACCCUGUCUUAAAGAGACAGACCCAAACCCAAACCUUCCUGCUGUGAUGUCAGCAUACCAGCAGCUUUGACUAGAUCUCACUUCUGUACUUCUUCAUCUCUUUAGUUGGCUUAUUAGAGAGAAAAAACUGCCACAAAACCCCAAAAAUCACCUCAUUCAACAUCUGUUAUAGGCCACAAGAGACUAUUUAAAAACCAAAUUGUAAUCCCGUAACUCUCAAACUGCAUCUCCACAUCUCAAACUAAACAGGGUCUAUUCAGUCCAGGUUGGUCUUAAAUUCAUAUCAGUCCUUCAACCUUCCAAUUGGGGGGCUCACAGGCACAAGCCUCUAUGGCUACUUCAAACUUUUUCAAGUUUAUGAGAAAUAAUGCCAAAUUUCUCAAGCAGACCACUCCCUCCCCCUUCCCCACCAGCUUCUCUCUCUCAUUCACAUUUUCAUGAUUGCUGGGGGAGAUAGUAAAGAAACUACAACAUGACUGCUCCGUCAGGGGAAGGGUUUUAUUUUGAAUAAGAGAAAACACCAGAGGUCCCUGGAGGAGUCCAGAGCAGAGAGCAAAAGCAGACUGGACAUGGCCAGGGCCAUCUGGAGAGAAGAGAGGGAGGAGAUUGGGAGGAGGGGGUGGAAAAUCACUGUUAUAAGGAGGAUGAAUAGGUGGGGAUGGGAAGCUGCCGUGAGUUGGAGCAGGCCUGGAAGUUUUAUGGUAGAAGGGGAGGUGAUGAGGGCCAGGAUGCUAGUGUGGGAUCUUUGAAGUGAGUAUCAAGUGCUUGUGAGUAGGGACUAGAGGAGCCUGGAAGCUACUGGGGAUAUGCUGGAAGUGCCACAGCUGUAAGUUGAGAGCCAUGUGUCCCUUCUGCCAGAGGUAAGAGGAGUGACUCCUUUUGGGGGGGGGGUAGGAGCCUGUUUCACACGUUUCCUGGGAAUGCUGGUUUUUAUCUAACCACCAGAAAUCCUUCUAUACUCCAGCUUGAACUCCUUUCUGGAUAUAUGGACUGCCUGAGACCUAACAUGUGUGUGUACAUAUGUGUAUGUAUGUGUCCAUGUGCAAACACAUCUUGAUGCUAGUGUGGUCAAAAGACAACAAUUUGUGGCAAUUCAUUUUCUCCUUCCACAAUUGGGUUUUGUCUUAGUCAUUGUCUUAUUGCUGUGAACACAUACCAUGACCAUGACAACGCUUGUAAAAGAAAGCAUUUAAUUGGGGGCUUGCUUAUAGUUUCCAAUGGUCAGUCUAUUAUUAUCAUGGCAGGGAACAUGGUGACAUGCAUGGUCCUGGAACAGUAGCUAAGCACUACAUCUGGUUCUUUUUUUUUUUUU
RNAcentral lists this small RNA (3212 nucleotides) under Rattus norvegicus (Norway rat). RNAcentral's name for it is "uncharacterized LOC108349639". The record is from RNAcentral. Lineage: Eukaryota; Metazoa; Chordata; Mammalia; Rodentia; Muridae.